AUGGCAGCAAUUUUAGGCAGCUCGACGGCACGCGACAACGAUGAUCAAGAAAGGGGAGGUCAACAGAGAUGCAGUAAGGCGUGGCAAAAGCAACGCUUGCAGGCAGCAGAGGCAAAACCAAGCAGGGGCGACUCGAGGCGUGGUAGCCUAGAGGCGAGGCAGCAGGCGACGGCAACUCAUAGCAGACACCAGUGGUGA
Molecule: ribosomal RNA, 198 nt
Filed under: Triticum aestivum (bread wheat)
Lineage: Eukaryota; Viridiplantae; Streptophyta; Magnoliopsida; Poales; Poaceae
Description: partial small subunit ribosomal RNA
Source: RNAcentral